RNAcentral lists this ribosomal RNA (163 nucleotides) under uncultured bacterium. Its description in RNAcentral is "partial 16S rRNA". It matches the Rfam family "Bacterial small subunit ribosomal RNA", at positions 355 to 511 of the family's 1533-position model. The record is from RNAcentral.
UAGGGAAUCUUCCACAAUGGACGAAAGUCUGAUGGAGCAACGCCGCGUGAGUGAAGAAGGUUUUCGGAUCGUAAAGCUCUGUUGUUGGUGAAGAAGGAUAGAGGCAGUAACUGGUCUUUAUUUGACGGUAUCAACCAGAAAGUCACGGCUAACUACGUGCCAC